AAUAGUUUAAACAACGUUUUUAGAUUUCCAGAAAAUUACGUAGAAUGGAUAAUUCUACAAAAGAUUCAAUGACUGGACUAUCAGAUGAUGUUAGUUUAUUGCAAAGAAGUCAAAAGCCAAGUAGGAUCAAGUAAGAUGAUUAUAAAUAAAUUACAAAGUUUAUAUUAGGGUGUAUCAGGAACUUUUUUAUCAGAUAUUCUACUUCUUAUUCCUUAGAGCAGUGUCCUGUGAAUAACUAGCAGGGGUUCCAGGAAGCCCCGGAAAAAGUUAAUUAAAAUUCUACCACAGUUAACCAUUUAAUGAUAACAGUAAUGAAAAAAGCAGCAUUGGCAUGCCAUAUAUAUGCUGUGCUGCAAUGCAGUGAAUACCUAUUAAUGAUUUUUUCCUAGUUACCUAGUCAUACAUGCGCGUAUAAUAAUUUAUUACAUUUAUUUUAAUACUAUGACUACCAAUAUAAUUAAACAAAAUAGAUUAAAUUUCUUUUUAAAUACAAAAUAAUGUUUUUAUAUUUUAGGGAUCCUCAUAAAAAUGUAUUAUUAUUUGGGGUUCCUUAAUCCCAAAACAAUAUUUUGUUCAGACUUGAAAUGAUUUUUUAAGGUCUCAAGCAUUAUUUUCUAAAAAAAGAAGUAGAGUUGUUUUUGUAUUUAUAUAAGUAAUAAUUUUUAAAUUAUGAUCAUUGAAUUGAAAGUUAUCAGAAAAAGAAAAAAACUGAGGUACUGGGGGCAGGUAUGCCACUGUUAUGGGUGAGAAGGUAGGAUACAUACAUAUUUUUUUUAUAUCUGUAAGCAAUGAUAAACCAUUGCUACUGAAAAUGAUUCAAAGUCGAUUUCAAUUAUACAUGUUUUGUUGAAAGGCCAUAAUAUUUUCGUCAAAAUUUAAUAUUAAAAUUCUUAUUUAAAAAAAAAACAUUACAUUAAAAUUAUUUUUUUUUUUUUGACCACAAAGUACACCUUAUAAUAAAUCUGUUGAAUUUUGAUGUAUUUCUGAUUAAUCUAACAAUUUUAUCCACUGACAACCUACCAAAUAAUUGUUUAUAAACUCUCAAAAAUUAAAAUGUCUAUGAACAGCUCAAAAAUGGCUCAAAUUUAUUCGAAAAUUGUUCUAUUUCUAGAAAAAGUAUUUGUAAGUUUUCUGUCAAAAUUUUAAGUUUUUAUACAUUUUUAUUUGAAUAACAACAAAAUUUAAAAUAUUAAAGGUAUUAUUUUUGUAAAUCUUCCUGUUCUUUCUACAAUUUUUUUUUGGUUUUGCUUAAUUAUUAGAAAACCUAUAGGAGAAAAUUAAAAAACUACUUUUUUACUUACCAACUAAAUUAAAAAUACAGCAAAAAGGUCACUUGUUGUUUUUAAAAACACUAGUUAAAGGUGGUUUCAAGAAUUUAUUUAUCCAAAAAUUUACUUUCAAUGGCCUAAAUAUGUAGUAAAAUUUAGAAUAUUAAAUUUGGCAAAUAUGAUAAAUGUUCUUUUCUUCUGCUAAUUUUUGAUAUAUACCUUAAAACCUUUUACCUCAAAUAUUAUUAUUUAUAUUUAAAAAAAAACGCAUUUUUUCCUAAUUUGUUAAUGAUGAUAAAAUUCAUUCCUUGUUCAAAGUCUAAAAUUAGGGGACAUUAAGCUGUAUGGAACACAAUUUUAUGGAUUGAAGAAUAUCUAAUAAAAAAAAAAAAAAAAAUCCUGAAACACUAAUUUAUAUAUUUGUUUGUAUUUUCAAAACAACAUUUUGGUAUUUUAGGAUCAAAUUUACCAAAAAGGUAAAGACAACUUUAAAAUCAUUACCUUCUAAGACUGAUGAUCUUUCUACUGAAGAAACAACAAAUCUACUUAGAGAUGGAAAAAAAUGUUGGUAUAAAUUAAAAACUGUUGAAAAAAAGAAUUUUAUAAAUAUAAAGAAAUUAAUAUCUAUUAUACAAUUAGCUCUCAUGAUCAAUAACGAUGAUAUUUUUAUGUCUGAUAUAAUGAGGUAUAUUCUAAUAAUAUUAUUUUAAAAUUGUUUUUAUUAAAAUUUGUUUACUUUUAUUCAUUAACUUGCUAUAGAUGGAUUCAUGAAGGACAUUUGCAUGUAAAUCGUAUUGAUAUGUAUUUACCAGAAAAUGUAGUGCAUGGUAUUAAUAUUUGUAAAAUGGUUAAUAUUUCUUCAAGAAAAACAUUAAAUUUUGAAUUGGGCCAAAUAUUUGAUGUUUUCAAAAUUAACUAUUUACCUAAUAUUGAUUUCAAAAAAUUAGUAAUUCGUUUUUGCGAUGAACUUCAACUUCCAAGUAAUUAAUUGCUAGCUAAACUAUAAAAGUAUUUUGUAUUAACUUAAUUUUAAUUGAAAUCUAGGUGAUUUUACAAAUUUUGUUUGUAAACUCGUGUUAAUAUCUCCUCCAGAUUUAAAAUUAAUCCACUUAUUAAAUGAUAUUGAAAUAAAAGCAAUGUCUUACAUUCUUUUUGCUGCCAAAUUUCUAUUUACUCUUGACGGUAAUGCAGAAAAUUUAUCUUCAGAUUUUGCUGAAAAAGUCAACUUGUAAGUUAUUUUUAUUUUUUAAUUACACCAAUUUAUAGAUCAUUGGCUAUAAUAACAGUGUUUAUUACAUUUCUAUAUUUAUAAACAAAUCAUCUUAAUGUUGUAAACUAUAUUUGACUCUUAGGUUUUUUUACCCUUUGAAGCUUAUCUCCUUUCAUUCAAACAGUUUAGUAUAAUAGCAAUACAUUUCAUUAUCUUACUGUAUCCCUUAUUUAGAUUUAAAAACUUAACAAGUCUAUAUAUUUAGUUGUAGACCUUGAGAAAUUGUUUUCCUUGUAUUACCUCCCUAAAUAUUUGUGGUAAGUACUUUUUUUUUAAUGUUUUUUCCUAUAUGUCUCUUAAAGUUGCCUCACACUGGAUUAGAUCGGUUAGGAAACGUCACGUCGGAUUGGAAUGGAACCAAAUUGUUUGUCGACAAUAUUUUGACAGAUUUGCAUCCACACUGAUACAAAUAUACGUGCCAUCUUUUGGUUAUCAUCGUUUUGUAAUUAGUUGUAUGUAAAAAAUUGA
Molecule: long non-coding RNA, 3006 nt
Filed under: Cinara cedri
Lineage: Eukaryota; Metazoa; Arthropoda; Insecta; Hemiptera; Aphididae
Source: RNAcentral